UGCUGCUUGCUCGGCAGUACAUAUGAAAACUUAGAAUGGAUACAGAGAAGAUUAGCAUGGCCCCUGCGAAAGGAUUACACACACAUUUGUGAGUCAGGCUCCUUAGAU
Molecule: small nuclear RNA, 108 nt
Organism: Etheostoma spectabile (orangethroat darter)
Lineage: Eukaryota; Metazoa; Chordata; Actinopteri; Perciformes; Percidae
Source: RefSeq, a predicted model, not a curated record